UACAGAGUGGGCAAGCGUUGUUCGGAAUUACUGGGCGUAAAGGGCGCGUAGGCGGCCUGCUAAGUCGAACGUGAAAUCCCCGGGCUCAACCCGGGAACUGCGUCCGAUACUGGUAGGCUUGAAUUCGGGAGAGGGAUGCGGAAUUCCAGGUGUAGCGGUGAAAUGCGUAGAUAUCUGGAGGAACACCGGUGGCGAAGGCGGCAUCCUGGACCGACAUUGACGCUGAGGCGCGAAAGCCAGGGGAGCAAACGGG
Molecule: ribosomal RNA, 253 nt
Filed under: uncultured bacterium
Lineage: Bacteria
Description: partial 16S ribosomal RNA
Rfam family: Bacterial small subunit ribosomal RNA
Source: RNAcentral